RNAcentral lists this long non-coding RNA (2828 nucleotides) under Medicago truncatula (barrel medic). Its description in RNAcentral is "lncRNA gene35494". The record is from RNAcentral. Lineage: Eukaryota; Viridiplantae; Streptophyta; Magnoliopsida; Fabales; Fabaceae.
UGUAGCCUAAAAUAUCACAUCAUGACAAGAAGAAAUAUAAUGUCAUAACUCAAAAUAAAACAUUUUGCCUCCUAGAGCAUUACAAUUAUCCUCAAAAUAAAAUAAAAUAUGUAAUGUUUUCUCAGUUUCUAAGAUAAUAAGUAAAGAUCAAAUUAGUAAACUUAGCACUGAUGUCACAAUAUAAUAUCAGUAACUAGAACCCAGUUGAAACAUAAACAAUAAUCAAACAAACUUUAAAUAAAAAUAUAAUAUAGGUGAGAUAAUAGAUAUCCACUUUAUCCUCAUACACAAACACAUCGAUAUCACUCCUCAAUCUUGUUACGAGGAUAACCUGCAUAAAAUAAUAGAAAAGAAACACGUAGAAAAUAGGGGGUGAGAUUUUAUAAUAGAAAAUAUGGUUUGAGUAGAAUAUAUAGAGAAAUAGGAUAUAAGUGGGUAGUGGGAAUCGAACCAGCAUCGUUAGCUUGGAUGGCUAAGUGUUAUAGCCGAUAUUCAUAAAUGAACGUUUCUAUUUAAAAACCGACAUGAAACUUUUGUUUCAUUCAGAUCCUUUAUAGAUUAAUUUAAGAGAUUGACGGAAUACACGAAGAAAAAAAUGACACUUAACAUCUAUGUUAGCCUUUCGGUAUGAAUACACAUGUUAAAAGAAACUUAAAGUUGUAAAGUGGUAAUGCAUAGAAACAAACACACAAAUAUAUGUUUAUGACGACAAACCAUUUGAGGCGUACACAUAAUACUAUAAGAGAUAUAUAUAUCAAAUGAAUCAUUCCUACACAUCUACUAUAUAUGCAUUUUGUACACAUAACUUGUUAUGAGGAUAAUACUCAUUAAAAUAUAAAUUACCCAUUCUAUUUAUAUUUUUCUUUAAGGUUUUAAGGUUAUAUUUGUCAAUCAGAAUUUUCAAUUACAAUACAACUUCUUUGGAACUUUUAUAACAUAUUGUUUGAGUUUGAUAUGUUUAUUCAACCUAGUUACCUCUUAUUUUGGGAUGGAUUUAUAUAAUUGGAUUGUCUAUAUUUCAUUAUGCGCUGUUGUUUUUAGACUCGUUGUUAAUGAUGAACCAAAAAAUCUAAUUAACAAUUCUAGGAAACAAAUCCAUGUAUAGAAACAAUUUUUUUUAUAUAUAUAUGUCUUUGGUACUUAGAUUGGUUUUCCUUUUCCUAGAUUCAAUCUAACAUUGUUUACGUGUAUCUUGCAAAUUACGAAUUGUGUAGACGUGUUUGGUGCGAUCUUCGACUUGUGUGUGUAAUAAUCUCAACAUACAAAUUUGGUGUUGUUUCCUUAUUAUACAUGUUGUGGCGUACUUGAGUAGAUACUAAAGUUAUCAGAGCAUUUGUUUAGUUUUUUUCAAUAUUCUCAAGUGAAUAAAAAAUCUAGUACAUAUUUGGGACGAAUAUGGUAAAAUAGUUUAUCGAUUAAUAUAUAUAGGGUGAACCAAGAUCUACCAAGGAUUAAAAAGAUAAUGGUAGCUAUGAUUUAUUUUGUUAUUGUUAUGAGUAUCAUCUAAAGAGAUAUAUUUGUUACUAUAUUGUCUAUAGUAUAUGUGUGAUAUUUUAAUUGUUUGCAUACAUUUAUGAGCGUAAGAGCAUUAGGAUCAUCUUUUAUAUAUGAUAUUUUAUUUAUGUAAGAUAUGUCAUAGAUGAUAUAUUUUUUAUUUUUAAUAACAUAGUUAUGUCCUCGGUCUAUUUUAGAAAUGUAUUUGUUAAUGAUGCCUUAUUAUAUGUUAAUUUAAGGAUGUUUUAAUAGUGUAGGUUUUUGUGUGUCAUUGAUUAUUAUGAUUAUGAGGAUUAUAAGUAAGAUAAAGGUAAAAUAUUAUUAGGGAAACUGUGAUUAUGAUGAAAAUGAUUACAAGUAUGGCAAUCGACUAUGGAUACAUAUAUGAAUAUAAAUAGAAACAUGACUUUGUCGUGCAAACAUAAAAGAUUAGUUAUUGAUUUUUAUGGAUCAAGUUUCCAUGACUUAUAGAGAUUAUACAUGAAGAAUUUCAUAAGAUUUUAUUGAUGUUAUUCCAUCAGCGUGUGUAUGGGCAUUCACAAGGUGUAUUAUUGGUCCCAUCUUUUAGAAAGAAUAUUAUCAUUAUUUUGAACAUGGUUGAAUGCCACAAUAGUGGUCUAUUCUAGCACAAGUUAUGGACUGUGGCAAAUUUAAAGCAUUUAGACUCCAUUAGAAGUAAAAUGGUGUUUUCUCAUUGUUAGUGAGAAUAUUUGUGGCUUCAUAAUUUACCAGUUUAAUUGUCAACGCUUAGUUUGACAUGUAUCAAAAUCAUAUGAAUGAUCUGAAAGGAAAUUUAAUGAUGAUGUACAAUAUAACUGAGUCGAGGAUGUGUGGUGUAUUUUUUGUGUGGUGUACUUAUUUUCAUCCUAUUAUUUUGAUGUUUCUAGAGUCUUAGUAACUAUUUAAAAUGAUCCACUUUUACAAGGCUUUGUCUUUUAUUGUGUUGUUGGAGUACCCCUUGUACUCCUUUUUCAAUUUGAAAUAUAUUUUAAAUGAUUCUAAUGCGAUUAAAUAAAUUGCAAGGUCGAAGUAUUACAUGAAAGAUUAGAGAAUUAUGUUUUACCUUAGUUGAUCACGCACUUACAAAUACCCUUCAUGCACUUGAUAGGGUAUUUUGAAGGGCCAGGAAAUUUUUCCUGGCAAUCGGCAUCAGUGUCACACCAUACUGUAAUUGUAAAUAAAGAUAAAGAAAUAUUACUAAAUAUGAGAGAAAUGUAUUGUCUAAGAUAAAAAAAGAAUAAAAUGAGCUUACGUUUACUAUUAUAUACAACAAGAUACAAAGAAAAGAAAAGGGUCGCAUUAUAAACAAACUUGAGAAUUUCAGCCAUUUUUUU